GUUUAACGGCCGCGGUAUUUUGACCGUGCAAAGGUAGCGCAAUCACUUGUCUUUUAAAUAAAGACCUGUAUGAAUGGCAUAACGAGGGCUAAACUGUCUCCUUACUCCAGUUAAUGAAAUUGAUCUCCCCGUGCAGAAGCGGGGAUUAACCCAUAAGACGAGAAGACCCUGUGGAGCUUUAGAUGAUAGAUGAAUUUAUUAAAAAAUUAAUACCACAUAAAAGGUAAUUAAAACGAUGACCUCAUCUUAAAUCUUUAGUUGGGGCGACCGCGGAGUAAAACAAAACCUCCGUGAGGAUUGAGAUGAAAACCUUAUACCCAAGAAUGUCAUUUCUAAGUACCAAAAUAUUUGACCAAUUGAUCCGGCAACAGCCGAUUAACGAACCUAGUUACCCCAGGGAUAACAGCGCAAUCCUCUUUGAGAGUCCCUAUCGACAAGAGGGUUUACGACCUCGAUGUUGGAUCAGGACAUCCUAAUGGUGUAG
Molecule: ribosomal RNA, 484 nt
Filed under: Hippocampus guttulatus (long-snouted seahorse)
Lineage: Eukaryota; Metazoa; Chordata; Actinopteri; Syngnathiformes; Syngnathidae
Description: partial 16S ribosomal RNA
Rfam family: Bacterial large subunit ribosomal RNA
Source: RNAcentral